Molecule: transfer RNA, 65 nt
Filed under: Dipodomys ordii (Ord's kangaroo rat)
Lineage: Eukaryota; Metazoa; Chordata; Mammalia; Rodentia; Heteromyidae
Rfam family: tRNA
About the family: Transfer RNA (tRNA) molecules are approximately 80 nucleotides in length. Their secondary structure includes four short double-helical elements and three loops (D, anti-codon, and T loops). Further hydrogen bonds mediate the characteristic L-shaped molecular structure. tRNAs have two regions of fundamental functional importance: the anti-codon, which is responsible for specific mRNA codon recognition, and the 3' end, to which the tRNAs corresponding amino acid is attached (by aminoacyl-tRNA synthetases). tRNAs cope with the degeneracy of the genetic code in two manners: having more than one tRNA (with a specific anti-codon) for a particular amino acid; and 'wobble' base-pairing, i.e. permitting non-standard base-pairing at the 3rd anti-codon position.
Source: Rfam by way of RNAcentral
GGUAGCUUAGUGGUAGAGCACUUGCUUAGCAUGUAUGAGGCCCUGGGUUCAAUUCCUCAGUACCA